This 497-nucleotide ribosomal RNA is filed under the name uncultured bacterium. RNAcentral describes it as "partial 16S ribosomal RNA". It matches the Rfam family "Bacterial small subunit ribosomal RNA", at positions 28 to 507 of the family's 1533-position model. The record is from RNAcentral.
GAUGAACGCUGGCGGCGUGCCUAAUACAUGCAAGUCGAGCGAACAGACGAGGAGCUUGCUCCUCUGACGUUAGCGGCGGACGGGUGAGUAACACGUGGAUAACCUACCUAUAAGACUGGGAUAACUUCGGGAAACCGGCGCUAAUACCGGAUAAUAUAUUGAACCGCAGGGUGCAAUGGUGAAAGACGGUGUUGCGGUCACUUAUAGAUGGAUCCGCGCCGCAUUAGCUGGUUGGUAAGGUAACGGCUUACCAAGGCAACGAUGCGUAGCCGACCUGAGAGGGGGGUCGGCGCCCUUGGAGCUGGGCCACGGUCAAGACUCCUACGGGAGGCAGCAGUAGGGAAUCUUCCGCAAUGGGCGGAAGCUUGACGGAGCAACGCCGCGUGAGUGAUGAAGGUCUUCGGAUCGUAAAACUCUGUUAUUAGGGAAGAACAAAUGUGUAAGUAACUAUGCACGUCUUGACGGUACCUAAUCAGAAAGCCACGGCUAACUACGUG